GCCAGGCACUGUGGUGCAUGCCUGUAAUCCCAGUGACUUGGGAGGCUGAGGCAGGAGGGCUGUGAGUUCAAAUCCAGCCUCAG
RNAcentral lists this small RNA (83 nucleotides) under Marmota monax (woodchuck). The record is from RNAcentral. Lineage: Eukaryota; Metazoa; Chordata; Mammalia; Rodentia; Sciuridae.